ACGGAGAGGGACGGCAGCGCGCGAUGGAGCCGAGGACUCCGCAGACCGGUCGGCCGUGCCACCAGUGGUCGGUAUCCGCCGACAUCUGCUUCGGAGGAGGUGGCGGAGUGCGGGCGUCACACAGUUUCACUCCGGCAGGGACCUCGCACAGCGCAGCGGCGGCGGGACGGCAGGGACCCGAGGCGGCGGCAGGGGUGAGGCCUGAUGUGCGGGUUAGUUACGGACCGGACAACUCGGUGCGUCUGCACUGCUCAUGGAGCAGCAGUCCCAGUCUGCACACACUGACACAGCAGCAGCAGCAGCAGCAGCAGCAGCAGGGGCUACGUCAACAAAGUCACCCGCCGAACCACCCUCAGCAGCCGUUCGAGCAGCAGUGGCAGCAGUGCCAGCCACAGAGGCAGCAGCAUUACGGCAGGACGGUCUCAGACAUGGGCCGGCCUCGAGCUCGUCUGGACCGUGACCCGUGCAGCGGCCCUCCCCAGAGGACCUCCACCUGGUCCGCGGCCUCUCCGGGCUGCGACAGAACCUCAGCAGCCGGUCCCCGCGGCGGCAGCAGCCGGGCCAGCAGCACCCAGCAGCAGCACGGCCGCUGCCGCAGCAGCUGCAGCAUCGUCCUGGAGCCGGCCGAGCCGCCGGCUGCGGGCCCGGAGCGGGUGAACGUCAGACGCAGCUACAGCAUACACGGCAAGUCACCAACACCCCGGCCAUCGGAACAAGAACGGCAGAGGCCAAACUCCCUGCAUGGGCUGACUGGGGAGACGUCGAGCAUCGUGCAGUACAGAAGAGGAGAGGGGAGAAGUCAACUGCAGGAAGAGAGGGCAGAUGCAAAUCGUGAUACGGUUCAAAGGACUUGUAACAUGCCAGAUGGAAGACAACGUGAAACGCAAAGGCCUGCCACCCAAGAAACUCAACGGGUCUUAGCAAGAAAAACUGAGGCAUCAGAACAACGUCAGGGUAAUGAACCCCAAAUAAACAAUGACUGUGCUGACAGAAACAAAGGACGCGCAAAACACGGAAGCCCCUCGAAGGCAUCACAAAGCUCCCAACGCAGCAAACCCUCUUCUGAGAGACGUGCUCAUCAAAAUGGCCGAGGCUCUUCGACAAGAUCGCGGUCUCAGGGACGCUCUGAGCACUCCUCCGUCCAGAGGGAGGGCCAAAACUCUUCUCGCCACAGCUCUGGCAACAACAGCUCACACUACUGCCAAGGCUGUGACGGAGCCAGAUCUCACUCACGGGACAGGCGCGGACGCGGGGACCUGGCACACCGUGCCCGGUCGCUCGCUGACAGCCGAAGAGGAGGCGGCCUCUCAGCCGAAUCUCGUCGUCGGACCGUUUCCGAGCACAGCUCUGUCUCCCAGGAGGUGCACGCCAGUGACGGCUCCCCGGAGCGAUUCUCAGAGACGUCGCUAUGCACCUGCCGCAGCAUCCGCCCGCUGCUCUGCGGCGGCUGCGGACGGACCACCAGCACAGGGUCAUCUCGGCCCAACGCCAGGACGAUCCUGGACCGCUUCUACGACCAUCUCCAUUCGCGCUCGAACAAGCCCGCCCAGCCGAGGAUGGGUCAGGCGGUGUACAACAUGAGUCACCCGAUCCAGCCGCCAGCAACAUCGCGGACGUCAUCACAUUCCGGCAGGAGUCGGUGGAGGGAGUCGCGGCAUGCCCGGUACCAGGCUCACGGGAGGACUGUCCACAUAGACGUGUACUGCACUGGUUCAGAGGCAGACGACAGCGGCAGUGAGAGCGGUGACUCUGGAGGCGCCAGCGGCGGCACCUCCACUCCCCAGACCGUGUUCGAGACGGGCCAGUAUCGAGUGAUACACCGCCGCGCGCGUAGGUCCCUACCCCGCGCCCUGCAGCGCCGGCGGAGGGCUGCCAGCGCUGAUCGCGUUCACCAUCACGACUGCCGCGCAGAUCGACUCACACCCACGGCAGCCGAUGAUUCUGACUCGGACGACUCCGACUCGCCGCGUGACCUCACCGUGUCUCCCCGUGAUGUCACUGAGUCUGUGGACAUCAGCUGCUGCGAGUCGGCGGUCACGUGGCGGGACAGUGACUCGGAGUCUUCACCUCAAGACGGCACCAAGACAUGGCGUUCCCCCGACCUCGAACGCCGACUUCUUGGGGGACUCGGAGGUCUAUCUGGUUCUACAGCAUCCGGACAACCUGAAAGUGUUGCAGCUUCCGAAAGCACUGGACGUCCAGAUACUCUUGAAGGGCUCGGGGGCUUUGUGCGACUUGGAGGACGUCGGCCGGCACCGGACCCAGAGUCGUCGACACCCUCGCCGGCCCCGACUGGCUGGUGUGAGCGGCACGACACGGUGCGUGUUCGCACGGCGGCCGAUCCCCCGACCCCGGAGACGGUUCCGCCGUCAGCCCCCUGGCAGAGUCCCGCCGCCUCUGAGCAGACGGUGCCCCACCUGACGGUGACCCCAGUGCAGCCGCCGCGCUCCAACUUCUCCCCGGGCCGGCUGCGGAUUCCGAACGUCUUCCAGCAGUUCCUGGUGCCGUUGCGCCGACCCGGCCACCACGUCGGUCCGCCCAAGAACCCGGCCUGCUCGUGCAGCAGCUGCGUGGCUCACUGCGAGCAGCGCGGCAUGAGGAGCCGAGCGAUGAGCGAGUCGUAUGUGGAGAGCGGCCGGGUGGCGCCGCCGGGCCGGCCCCUGCCGCACACCCUGGAGAGACCGGGCCACCGGCCGCUGCCCGACACCCCUCCGGCACCGACCGAGGGCCGGCCCCCGCUCCGGACAGACCCCGCGCGGCCCGCUGAUAGUGAAGGAGAUGACGCCAGGAGCGGAGGGCGGUCAGCGAACGACCGGGUCAACGGAGGACAGAGCAGAGGAGUGGACGGAGAGAGUGGAGGAGGGUCGACAGAGCGCCAGAGGAUAGCCCUGGAGAAGGUGGCCGCUGCAGCUGAGGACCAAGUAGACUCAAGUCACUCAAGCGACGUUUAAAAGCAGCAGCAGUCUGCCUAACGAUUCGAAUUCACCGUUAGAAGCUCUAACACCAAAUGUAGUGCAGAGUGGUGUUCGAUCUCAAAAGGCUCCGCCGAGGAGCAGUGUUAGUGAGAAUAAUUCAAAUGCCGUCUGCCCUGAGGAGGAUUCGACAUGCUCCAGUCGCCACUCCAGUAGAGGAAUCACACCUGCCUCUUUGCUUCAGCUCAGGCUGCAGGGGUGUCAGGGACUACUGGAAGACUUAUCCGACGGAGACGACAAGUCCCCGGACCGAACAGCAGCCAGAAAACGGAACAGGAGGC
RNAcentral lists this unclassified non-coding RNA (3253 nucleotides) under Amphibalanus amphitrite. RNAcentral describes it as "serine/threonine-protein kinase N2-like, transcript variant X2". The record is from RNAcentral. Lineage: Eukaryota; Metazoa; Arthropoda; Thecostraca; Balanomorpha; Balanidae.